GGACUACCGGGGUAUCUAAUCCUGUUUGCUCCCCACGCUGUCGCGCCUCAGUGUCAGAACUGGUCUAGCUGGCCGCCUUCGCCACGAGUGUUCUCCCCCAUCUCUACGCAUUUCACCGCUACACAGGGAAUUCCACCAGCCCCUCCCAGCCUCAAGUCCUGCAGUUUCUACCGACGAGCUACAGUUGAGCUGUACCCUUUCACGAUAGACAUACAGAACCACCUACGCGCCCUUUACGCCCAAUGAUUCCGAACAACGCUUGCCCCUUCCGUAUUACCGCGGCGGCUGGCAC
RNAcentral lists this ribosomal RNA (292 nucleotides) under uncultured bacterium. Its description in RNAcentral is "partial 16S ribosomal RNA". The record is from RNAcentral.